UACGAAGGGUGCAAGCGUUACUCGGAAUUACUGGGCGUAAAGCGUGCGUAGGUGGUUUGUUAAGUCUGUUGUGAAAGCCCCGGGCUCAACCUGGGAAUGGCAAUGGAUACUGGCAAGCUAGAGUGCAGAAGGGGCAACUGGAAUUCUCGGUGUAGCGGUGAAAUGCGUAGAUAUCGAGAGGAACACCUGCGGCGAAGGCGGGUUGCUGGGCUGGCACUGACGCUGAUGCGCGAAAGCCAGGGGAGCGAACGGG
RNAcentral lists this ribosomal RNA (253 nucleotides) under uncultured bacterium. RNAcentral's name for it is "partial 16S ribosomal RNA". It matches the Rfam family "Bacterial small subunit ribosomal RNA", at positions 524 to 776 of the family's 1533-position model. The record is from RNAcentral.